CACCUACGGGAGGCUGCAGCAACGAAUAUUCCGCAAUGGGCGAAAGCCUGACGGAGCGACGCCGCGUGAGGGAUGAAGUCCCUUCGGGAUGUAAACUUCAAUAGUACGCCAGGAACCGAUCUUGGCUAAUAUCUGAGAAAGUUGACCAGCGUACGAAAGAGGCGGCUAACUCCGUGCCAGCAGCCGCGGUAAUACGGAGGCCUCGAGCGUUGUUCGGAAUCACUGGGCUUAAAGCGCGUGUAGGCGGAACGGUAAGUACUUUGUGAAAUCCCCGGCUUCAAUCCGGGAACUGCUUGGUAUACUGUCGUUCUUGAGGCAGGUAGGGGUCACUGGAACCUUAGGUGGAGCGGUGAAAUGCGUAGAUAUCUAAGGGAACGCCUGUGGCGAAAGCGGGUGACUGGGCCUGUCCUGACGCUGAGACGCGAAAGCGUAGGGAGCAAACGGGAUUAGAUACCCCGGUAGUCUACGCCGUAAACGAUGCGCACUAGGUUCGAGGGUUCUGACGACCUUCGUGCCGCAAGAAAACCGAGAAGUGCGCCGCCUGGGGAGUACGGCCGCAAGGCUAAAACUCAAAGGAAUUGACGGGGGCUCACACAAGCGGUGGAG
This 606-nucleotide ribosomal RNA is filed under the name uncultured bacterium. Its description in RNAcentral is "bacterial SSU rRNA". It matches the Rfam family "Bacterial small subunit ribosomal RNA", at positions 335 to 937 of the family's 1533-position model. The record is from RNAcentral.